This 72-nucleotide transfer RNA is filed under the name Crassvirales sp. Its description in RNAcentral is "tRNA-Arg". It matches the Rfam family "tRNA". Rfam says of the family: Transfer RNA (tRNA) molecules are approximately 80 nucleotides in length. The record is from RNAcentral. Lineage: Duplodnaviria; Heunggongvirae; Uroviricota; Caudoviricetes; Crassvirales.
GCUCCCAUAGUUCAGUGGAUAGAACAACUCUCUCCUAAAGAGUAGACACAAGUUCGAGUCUUGUUGGGAGUA